This 477-nucleotide ribosomal RNA is filed under the name uncultured organism. RNAcentral describes it as "partial 16S ribosomal RNA". It matches the Rfam family "Bacterial small subunit ribosomal RNA", at positions 331 to 799 of the family's 1533-position model. The record is from RNAcentral.
GUACACUCCUGCGGGAGGCAGCAGUGGGGAAUUUUGGACAAUGGGCGCAAGCCUGAUCCAGCCAUGCCGCGUGCGGGAAGAAGGCCUUCGGGUUGUAAACCGCUUUUGUCAGGGAAGAAAAGGUUCUGGCUAAUACCUGGGACUCAUGACGGUACCUGAAGAAUAAGCACCGGCUAACUACGUGCCAGCAGCCGCGGUAAUACGUAGGGUGCAAGCGUUAAUCGGAAUUACUGGGCGUAAAGCGUGCGCAGGCGGUUAUGCAAGACAGAGGUGAAAUCCCCGGGCUCAACCUGGGAACUGCCUUUGUGACUGCAUGGCUAGAGUACGGUAGAGGGGGAUGGAAUUCCGCGUGUAGCAGUGAAAUGCGUAGAUAUGCGGAGGAACACCGAUGGCGAAGGCAAUCCCCUGGACCUGUACUGACGCUCAUGCACGAAAGCGUGGGGAGCAAACAGGAUUAGAUACCCGAGUAGUCCCAUG